Molecule: ribosomal RNA, 1018 nt
Filed under: uncultured bacterium
Lineage: Bacteria
Description: bacterial SSU rRNA
Rfam family: Bacterial small subunit ribosomal RNA
Source: RNAcentral
UUGCAUGUCGCAGCAAGACUGCAGUCGAACGGGAGUUCUUUUGGUAGCAAUACCGAGAGAAGUCUAGUGGCGAACGGGUGCGUAACACGUGGGCAAUCUGCCGAAAAGUGGGGGAUAGCUCGCCGAAAGGCGAAUUAAUACCGCAUGUGAUGAGAGACGACAUCGUCUUGAAAUCAAAGCCGGGGCAACCUGGCGCUUUUUGAGGAGCCCGCGGCCUAUCAGCUUGUUGGUGAGGUAACGGCUCACCAAGGCUUUGACGGGUAGCUGGUCUGAGAGGACGACCAGUCACACUGGAACUGAGACACGGUCCAGACACCUACGGGUGGCAGCAGUCGAGAAUUUUUGACAAUGGGGGCAACCCUGAUCGACCGACGCCGCGUGGAGGAUGAAGGUCUUCGGGUUGUAAACUCCUGUCAUUUGAGAACAAGAUGCACACGUUAACUGCGUGUGCAUUGAUAGUAUCAGAAGAGGAAGGGACGGCUAACUCUGUGCCAGCAGCCGCGGUAAUACAGAGGUCCCAAGCGUUGUUCGGAUUCAUUGGGCGUAAAGGGUGCGUAGGUGGCGCCGUAAGUCGGGUGUGAAAUUUCGAGGCUUAACCUCGAAACUGCAUUCGAUACUGCGGUGCUUGAGGACUGGAGAGGAGACUGGAAUUCAUGGUGUAGCAGUGAAAUGCGUAGAGAUCAUGAGGAAGACCAGUGGCGAAGGCGGGUCUCUGGACAGUUCCUGACACUGAGGCACGAAGGCCAGGGGAGCAAACGGGAUUAGAUACCCCGGUAGUCCUGGCAGUAAACGGUGCACGUUUGGUGUGGGAGGAUUCGACCCCUUCUGCGCCGGAGCUAACGCGUUAAACGUGCCGCCUGGGGAGUACGGUCGCAAGAUUAAAACUCAAAGAAAUUGACGGGGGCCCGCACAAGCGGUGGAGUAUGUGGCUUAAUUCGAUGCAACGCGAAGAACCUUACCUGGGCCUUGACAUGCAUCUCUAAACCGGUGAAAGCCCGGCGAGUCUCGAAGAGACAUU